UAAGAAUCUUGCUCAAUGGGCGCAAGCCUGAAGCAGCGACGCCGCGUGAACGAAGAAGGUCUUCGGAUUGUAAAGUUCAGUAAGCAGGGAAAAAUAAGCAGCAAUGUGAUGAUGGUACCUGCCUAAAGCACCGGCUAACUACGUG
This 145-nucleotide ribosomal RNA is filed under the name uncultured Leptospira sp. Its description in RNAcentral is "partial 16S ribosomal RNA". It matches the Rfam family "Bacterial small subunit ribosomal RNA", at positions 356 to 507 of the family's 1533-position model. The record is from RNAcentral. Lineage: Bacteria; Pseudomonadati; Spirochaetota; Leptospiria; Leptospirales; Leptospiraceae.